UUGAGUUUGAUGAUGGCUCUGAAUGAACGCUGUCCAAGUGCUUGACACAUGCUAAUCGAACGUCUAAUUUAAUUAAUGAUUAGUUUCAUCUAUUUCAUUAGAAGUGGUGUACAGGUGAGUAUAUAACAUUUUGGCUGCCUUAGAGUAAGGUUUAUAAAUACCUUAUAAUACGCAAUAAAAGGAAAUUAACUUCCGCUUUAAGAGGACAAUAAAUGUUUCGGAUAGGUAGUAGUUAAAGUAAUGGUUUAACUAGCUUAAAAUUCCGUAGUCGAGGCUGAGAGGUCGAUCGAUCACAUUGGGUCUGAAAAAACCCCAAUACGUAUAGUACAGCAGUGGGGAAUAUUGGUCAAUAGCCUAACGGCUGAACCAGCAACUUGGGAGAAUGUAUAGCUUCGGCUAGUUAUAUUUGGCUGUUUAAUUAAUCAUAUACAAAGCUUUGAAUUUGUAUAUAGGAGAUUAUUCACUUAUUGAUUCUUUUGACGCCGAUGUUUUCAAUAUUAAUUUACCACUCACCGUAAGGUGCACGUAAGUAAUACUUAAGUGGACAAAAUAACAUCGAUUUUAUCGAAUAAAGUUCUAGAUAGGAUACUGAUCAUGACAAUUUCCUGUCUAUAUGUCUUGACCAAAUUACGUGCCAGCAGUCGCGGUAAUACGUAGAAGACUAGUGUUAUUCAUCUUUAGUAGGUUUAAAGGGUACCUAGACGGUAUAAUUAGUCUAUAAUAGGAAACGGUUAUACUAGAGUUAUAUAUGAGAAGGUGAGUAUUUGUGGAGUAGAGUUGAAAUUCUUUGAUACCAUGAGGACUGGUAAAGGCGAAAGCAACCUUUUAUCUAAUAACUGACGUUGAGGGACGAAGGCUCGGGUAGCGAACAGGAUUAGAUACCCUAGUAGUCCAAGCAGAUAAUGAUGAAUGCCAUAGGUUAGAUAAUAUUUUAGUCUAUAAAUGAAAGUGUAAGCAUUUCACCUCAAGAGUAAUGUGGCAACGCAGGAACUGAAAUCAUUAGACCGUUUCUGAAACCAGUAGUGAAGUAUGUUAUUUAAUUCGACGGUACGCGAAAAACCUUACCACAACUUGAAUAUUAUAUUAAGUAAAUCUUAUCUUAUAAUAAGAGAUAUAAAAUAUAUUACAAGCGUUGCACGGCUGUCUUCAGUUAAUGUCGUGAGAUAUUGGUUAAUUCCAUUAAAUUAACGGAAACCCUUGCUUUAUUUGCGAUCUAAUCUAAAUAAAGCAGUUCACCAUCACAUCGGAUAUGAUAACAGGGACCAAGACAAGUCAUCAUGGCCUAAAUGUUGUGGGCGAUAGACGUGCUGCAUAUUCCUAUACAAAAUGAUGCAAUAAUGUGAAUUGGAGCUAAUCUAAUAAAGUAGGAUAAAACAUGGAUUGUAGUCUGUAAUUCGACUGCAUGAAUAAGGAAUUACUAGUAAUCGUGAAUCACCACGUCACGGUGAAUUUUAUCUCAGAUAGGUACUUACUACUCGUCAGGCGCCGAAAGAAGUGUGUGCAAUAAGUUUGGUCUUUCAUUUAAUUUUACUCUAGUCUAUUCGUUCUAGUUUUUUUUAUGGAAGAUUUUCGUAUGCGUGACUUUGAUUGGUGUUAAGUCGAAAUACGGUUCGUGUAGUGGAAAUUGCACGGGAUUGAUUAAUGUUAACAA
This 1651-nucleotide ribosomal RNA is filed under the name Rhynchobrunnera orthospora. RNAcentral describes it as "SSU rRNA". It matches the Rfam family "Bacterial small subunit ribosomal RNA". The record is from RNAcentral. Lineage: Eukaryota; Fungi; Ascomycota; Leotiomycetes; Helotiales; Ploettnerulaceae.